GAACUUCUCAAAGUGCCCUUGAACUAACAUUGGAAGGGCAGAGAGAAGAGGAACACAGCCCCUGUGCAAGGAGGACAUGCAAAUUCAUUAAGCAUUCCAUAGUUUU
This is a small nuclear RNA of Lepus europaeus (European hare), 106 nucleotides long. The record is from RefSeq and is a predicted model, not a curated record. Lineage: Eukaryota; Metazoa; Chordata; Mammalia; Lagomorpha; Leporidae.